CGAGUAGGCCGGGUGGUCGCGGGCUUCGGCGUGGUGCCGGAGCCUGAGGAAAGUCCGAGCUCCGCAGGGCAGGGUGCUGGGUAACGCCCAGUGGGGGCGACCCCAAGGAAAGUGCCACAGAAACAGACCGCCGGCGGCCCCAAUGCCGCCGGUAAGGGUGGAAAGGUGAGGCAAGAGCUCACCAGCGGCGAGAGCGAUCCGCCGGCUCGGUAAACCCCACCCGGAGCAAGACCGAAUAGGGGAAUAAUGGAGUGGCCCGCUCCGUUCCCGGGUCAGGUCGCCGGAGGCGGCAGGCAACUGCCGUCCCAGAUAGAUGACCAUCCUCGACAGAACUCGGCUUACAGGCCUGCUCGGUCG
This 357-nucleotide RNase P RNA is filed under the name Clostridia bacterium. RNAcentral describes it as "RNase P RNA component class A". It matches the Rfam family "Bacterial RNase P class A". From Rfam's summary of the family: Ribonuclease P (RNase P) is a ubiquitous endoribonuclease, found in archaea, bacteria and eukarya as well as chloroplasts and mitochondria. Its best characterised activity is the generation of mature 5'-ends of tRNAs by cleaving the 5'-leader elements of precursor-tRNAs. The record is from RNAcentral. Lineage: Bacteria; Bacillati; Bacillota; Clostridia.